CACGGAGUUAGCCGGUGCUUAUUCAUCAGGUACCGUCAACGGCGUUAGAAAACACCGGUUUCUUCCCCAAUAAAAGAAGUUUACAACCCAGAGGGCCUUCAUCCUCCACGCGGCAUGGCUGGUUCAGACUUGCGUCCAUUGACCAAUAUUCCUUACUGCUGCCUCCCGUAGGAGUCGGGCCCGUGUCUCAGUGCCCGUGUGACUGGUCGUGCUCUCACACCAGUUACUGAUCGUCGGCUUGGUGGGCCAUUACCCCGCCAACUACCUAAUCAGCCGCACGCCCAUCUUUAAGUGCCGGAGCUUUAACAGCUGUGUGAUGCCACACCACUGUCUUAUGGGGUAUUAAUCCAAGUUUCCCUGGGCUAUUCCCCGCUUAAAGGAAGGUUGCGUACGUGUUCCGCACCCGUUUGCCGGUCGCCACCCAGUAUUGCUACCUGUGCUGCCCCACGACUUGCAUGUAUUAAGCCUGCCGCUAGCGUUCAUCCUGAGCCAGGAUCAAACUCU
RNAcentral lists this ribosomal RNA (504 nucleotides) under uncultured Chitinophagaceae bacterium. RNAcentral describes it as "partial 16S ribosomal RNA". The record is from RNAcentral. Lineage: Bacteria; Pseudomonadati; Bacteroidota; Chitinophagia; Chitinophagales; Chitinophagaceae.